CGGGACACGUGGUAUCCUGUCUGAAUAUGGGGGGACCAUCCUCCAAGGCUAAAUACUCCUGACUGACCGAUAGUGAACCAGUACCGUGAGGGAAAGGCGAAAAGAACCCCGGCGAGGGGAGUGAAAAAGAACCUGAAACCGUGUACGUACAAGCAGUGGGAGCACGCUUCGGCGUGUGACUGCGUACCUUUUGUAUAAUGGGUCAGCGACUUAUAUUCUGUAGCAAGGUUAACCGAAUAGGGGAGCCGAAGGGAAACCGAGUCUUAACUGGGCGUUAAGUUGCAGGGUAUAGACCCGAAACCCGGUGAUCUAGCCAUGGGCAGGUUGAAGGUUGGGUAACACUAACUGGAGGACCGAACCGACUAAUGUUGAAAAAUUAGCGGAUGACUUGUGGCUGGGGGUGAAAGGCCAAUCAAACCGGGAGAUAGCUGGUUCUCCCCGAAAGCUAUUUAGGUAGCGCCUCGUGAAUUCAUCUCCGGGGGUAGAGCACUGUUUCGGCAAGGGGGUCAUCCCGACUUACCAACCCGAUGCAAACUGCGAAUACCGGAGAAUGUUAUCACGGGAGACACACGGCGGGUGCUAACGUCCGUCGUGAAGAGGGAAACAACCCAGACCGCCAGCUAAGGUCCCAAAGUCAUGGUUAAGUGGGAAACGAUGUGGGAAGGCCCAGACAGCCAGGAUGUUGGCUUAGAAGCAGCCAUCAUUUAAAGAAAGCGUAAUAGCUCACUGGUCGAGUCGGCCUGCGCGGAAGAUGUAACGGGGCUAAACCAUGCACCGAAGCUGCGGCAGCGACACUAUGUGUUGUUGGGUAGGGGAGCGUUCUGUAAGCCUGUGAAGGUGUACUGUGAGGUAUGCUGGAGGUAUCAGAAGUGCGAAUGCUGACAUAAGUAACGAUAAAGCGGGUGAAAAGCCCGCUCGCCGGAAGACCAAGGGUUCCUGUCCAACGUUAAUCGGGGCAGGGUGAGUCGACCCCUAAGGCGAGGCCGAAAGGCGUAGUCGAUGGGAAACAGGUUAAUAUUCCUGUACUUGGUGUUACUGCGAAGGGGGGACGGAGAAGGCUAUGUUGGCCGGGCGACGGUUGUCCCGGUUUAAGCGUGUAGGCUGGUUUUCCAGGCAAAUCCGGAAAAU
Molecule: ribosomal RNA, 1128 nt
Filed under: Escherichia coli
Lineage: Bacteria; Pseudomonadati; Pseudomonadota; Gammaproteobacteria; Enterobacterales; Enterobacteriaceae
Description: partial 23S ribosomal RNA
Rfam family: Bacterial large subunit ribosomal RNA
Source: RNAcentral